GAUGAACGCUAGCUACAGGCUUAACACAUGCAAGUCGAGGGGUAACAGGGCGUAGCAAUACGCCGCUGACGACCGGCGCACGGGUGCGUAACGCGUAUACAACCUACCUGUAACAGGGGGAUAACGGAGUGAAAACUCCACUAAUACCCCAUAUUGACGAGUCUUCGCAUGGGGGUUCGUCGAAAGCUUCGGUGGUUACGGAUGGGUAUGCGUGACAUUAGGUAGUUGGCGGGGGCAACGGCCCACCAAGCCGACGAUGUCUAGGGGAGCUGAGAGGCUAGUCCCCCACACUGGUACUGAGACACGGACCAGACUCCUACUCAGUG
RNAcentral lists this ribosomal RNA (326 nucleotides) under uncultured bacterium. RNAcentral's name for it is "bacterial SSU rRNA". It matches the Rfam family "Bacterial small subunit ribosomal RNA", at positions 28 to 347 of the family's 1533-position model. The record is from RNAcentral.